Molecule: ribosomal RNA, 279 nt
Filed under: uncultured bacterium
Lineage: Bacteria
Description: partial 16S ribosomal RNA
Rfam family: Bacterial small subunit ribosomal RNA
Source: RNAcentral
UGCCAGCAGCCGCGGUAAUACGGAGGGGGUUAGCGUUGUUCGGAAUUACUGGGCGUAAAGCGCGCGUAGGCGGAUUGGUCAGUUAGAGGUGAAAUCCCGGGGCUCAACCCCGGAGCUGCCUUUAAUACUGCCAGUCUAGAGAUCUAGAGAGGUGAGUGGAAUUCCGAGUGUAGAGGUGAAAUUCGUAGAUAUUCGGAGGAACACCAGUGGCGAAGGCGGCUCACUGGCUAGAUACUGACGCUGAGGUGCGAAAGCGUGGGGAGCAAACAGGAUUAGAUA